GGUGAUUUUAGUAUCAACAAUGUAUUUUGGUAGUAAUGUGAUUUACUAUAGGCCAAUGCAAUUAUGCGUUAAGUUUGAAACGAGUCAGGGUAGUGCGGAGUGCACGCUCGUCAAGCCAAACGUGUAAUUGAAUACGAAUAAUUGAAAUGGGGUUUUCGAAAAGGUGUGCCUGUUCGUUUGAAUAGUGGUACCCUUUCCCAACAGACAUGACCGUUUGAAUAGUCGUACCCUUUCCUAAUAGACAUGACCGUUUUUUCGAAAAGGUGUGCCUGUUCGUUUUCUGUUAUUGGUCUCCUAUAUAAGGAGUCAUUUGGCCUCGGUUUUAAAAGAACGAAAAAUACUUCCUCUCUACAUUCUG
This 358-nucleotide long non-coding RNA is filed under the name Trifolium pratense (red clover). RNAcentral describes it as "long non-coding RNA (TPRA_LNC004731)". The record is from RNAcentral. Lineage: Eukaryota; Viridiplantae; Streptophyta; Magnoliopsida; Fabales; Fabaceae.